GACGAACGCUGGCGGCGUGCCUAAUACAUGCAAGUCGAACGCAGUGGGGACGGGUGCGUAACACGUGGGUAACCUCCAAUCAGAGGGGAUAACACUUGGAAACAGGUGCUAAACCGAUACUGAUGGAUGGACCCGGGGUGCAUUCGCUAGUUGGUGAGGUAACGGCUCACAAUGGCCACGAUGCAUAGCCGCCCUGAGAGGGUGAUCGGCCACACUGGGACUGAGACACGGCCCAGACUCCUACGGUAGGAAGCAGUGGGGAAUAUUCGGCAAUGGACGAAAGUCUGACCGAGCAACGCCGCGGGAGUGAAGAAGGUUUUCGGAGCGUAAAUCUCUGUUGUUAGGGAAGCGGGAUCUAAAGAAAAAGCCACGGCUAACUACGUGCCAGCAGCCGCGGUAAUAG
This 403-nucleotide ribosomal RNA is filed under the name uncultured bacterium. RNAcentral describes it as "partial 16S ribosomal RNA". It matches the Rfam family "Bacterial small subunit ribosomal RNA", at positions 28 to 526 of the family's 1533-position model. The record is from RNAcentral.